CCAGAUGUAGUUCAGUGGUAGAGCACUUGCCUAGCAGGAACAAGGCCCUGUGUUCAAUUCCCAGCAUCUGGG
Molecule: transfer RNA, 72 nt
Filed under: Heterocephalus glaber (naked mole-rat)
Lineage: Eukaryota; Metazoa; Chordata; Mammalia; Rodentia; Bathyergidae
Rfam family: tRNA
About the family: Transfer RNA (tRNA) molecules are approximately 80 nucleotides in length.
Source: Rfam by way of RNAcentral